CCCGCCGGCGACCGGCGCACGGGUGAGUAACACGUAUGAAACCUGCCCGUAGCAGGGGGAUAAGCGGAAGAAAUUCCGUCUAAUACCGCGUAACAACCCAUGGAGGCAUCUCUGUGGGUUUAAAGGAAGCGAUUCCGGCUACGGAUAGUCAUGCGUCGCAUUAGCUUGUUGGCGGGGUAACGGCCCACCAAGGCGACGAUGCGUAGGGGUUCUGAGAGGAAGGUCCCCCACACUGGUACUGAGACACGGACCAGACUCCUACGGAAGGCAGCAG
RNAcentral lists this ribosomal RNA (274 nucleotides) under uncultured bacterium. RNAcentral describes it as "partial 16S ribosomal RNA". It matches the Rfam family "Bacterial small subunit ribosomal RNA", at positions 84 to 354 of the family's 1533-position model. The record is from RNAcentral.